GUGCUCGUAACUCAAUUGGAUAGAGUGUCAGAUUACGGCUCUGGAAGUUGAAAGUUCAAAUUAUUCCGGGCAUG
Molecule: transfer RNA, 74 nt
Organism: Coccomyxa subellipsoidea C-169
Lineage: Eukaryota; Viridiplantae; Chlorophyta; Trebouxiophyceae; Coccomyxaceae
Rfam family: tRNA
About the family: Transfer RNA (tRNA) molecules are approximately 80 nucleotides in length. Their secondary structure includes four short double-helical elements and three loops (D, anti-codon, and T loops).
Source: Rfam